Molecule: long non-coding RNA, 179 nt
Organism: Alosa alosa (allis shad)
Lineage: Eukaryota; Metazoa; Chordata; Actinopteri; Clupeiformes; Clupeidae
Exons: 2
Source: RefSeq, a predicted model, not a curated record
CUAAAGUUGUUUGUAAAAGAGCUUCUUGUGCCUACAAGCCUGUAUUACAUUACAGUGUCAUACAAACCACACACACACACACACACACACACACACACACACACACACACACACACACACACACACACACACACGCUAUAUUAGCUUGAUGUGUGUGAUAUGCCAGAUCUGAUGCAGAG